GAUGAACGCUGGCGGCGUGCCUAAUACAUGCAAGUCGAGCGAACUUUUGGGAGCUUGCUCCCAAAAGUUAGCGGCGGACGGGUGAGUAACACGUGGGUAACCUGCCUGUAAGACUGGGAUAACUUCGGGAAACCGGAGCUAAUACCGGAUAACAUUGAAGACCACAUGGCUUUCAAUUAAAAGGUGGCUUUUAGCUACCACUUACAGAUGGACCCGCGGCGCAUUAGCUAGUUGGUGAGGUAACGGCUCACCAAGGCGACGAUGCGUAGCCGACCUGAGAGGGUGAUCGGCCACACUGGGACUGAGACACGGCCCAGACUCCUACGGGAGGCAGCAGUAGGGAAUCUUCCGCAAUGGACGAAAGUCUGACGGAGCAACGCCGCGUGAGCGAAGAAGGCCUUCGGGUCGUAAAGCUCUGUUGUUAGGGAAGAACAAGUAUCGUUCGAAUAGGGCGGUACCUUGACGGUACCUAACCAGAAAGCCACGGCUAACUACGUG
Molecule: ribosomal RNA, 498 nt
Filed under: uncultured bacterium
Lineage: Bacteria
Description: partial 16S ribosomal RNA
Rfam family: Bacterial small subunit ribosomal RNA
Source: RNAcentral